GAACGCACAUUGCGCCCCUUGGUAUUCCGAGGGGCAUGCCUAUUCGAGCGUCAUUAUCACCCCUCAAGCUCCGGCUUGGUGUUGAGGCCUGCUGUAAAGGCAUCCUCUAAAAUCAGUGGCAGUGCCGUCUGGCUCUAAGCGUAGUAACUUUCUCGCUAUGGACCCGGGCGGACCCUCGCCAGAAACCCCCCAUUUUUUAAUGAUUGACCUCGGAUUAGGUAGGGAUACCCGCUGAACUUAAG
RNAcentral lists this unclassified non-coding RNA (242 nucleotides) under uncultured Tetracladium. RNAcentral describes it as "sequence contains 5.8S rRNA gene". The stretch from base 1 to 53 matches the Rfam family "5.8S ribosomal RNA", at positions 102 to 154 of the family's 154-position model. Lineage: Eukaryota; Fungi; Ascomycota. The record is from RNAcentral.